RNAcentral lists this ribosomal RNA (49 nucleotides) under Curvularia lunata. Its description in RNAcentral is "partial 28S ribosomal RNA". RNAcentral also lists the same sequence under 3 other names. The record is from RNAcentral. Lineage: Eukaryota; Fungi; Ascomycota; Dothideomycetes; Pleosporales; Pleosporaceae.
GUUUGACCUCGGAUCAGGUAGGGAUACCCGCUGAACUUAAGCAUAUCAA